AGCAAUCCAUGAGUAGAGUGGCAAACGGGUGAGUAACGCGUGGGUGACCUGCCUUCGAGCGGGGGAUAACGUUUCGAAAGGAACGCUAAUACCGCAUGACAUCCUGCCUUUGAAGAGGUGGAGAUCAAAGCUGGGGAUCGCAAGACCUAGCACUUGAAGAGGGGCCCGCGUCUGAUUAGCUAGUUGGUGAGGUAACGGCUCACCAAGGCGACGAUCAGUAUCCGGCCUGAGAGGGCGGACGGACACACUGGGACUGAGACACGGCCCAGACUCCUACGGGAGGCAGCAGUGGGGAAUUGUUCGCAAUGGGCGCAAGCCUGACGACGCAACGCCGCGUGGAGGAUGAAGACCUUCGGGUCGUAAACUCCUUUCGAUCGAGACGAAAGACUUCCGGGUGAACAAUCCGGAAGAGUGACGGUACCGAGAGAAGAAGCCCCGGCUAACUCCGUGCCAGCAGCCGCGGUAAUACGGGGGGGGCAAGCGUUGUUCGGAAUUACUGGGCGUAAAGGGCUCGUAGGCGGCCAACUAAGUCGGACGUGAAAUCCCUCGGCUUAACCGGGGAACUGCGUCCGAUACUGGAUGGCUUGAGGUUGGGAGAGGGAUGCGGAAUUCCAGGUGUAGCGGUGAAAUGCGUAGAUAUCUGGAGGAACACCGGUGGCGAAAGCGGCAUCCUGGACCAAUUCUGACGCUGAGUGAGCGAAAGCCAGGGGAGCAAACGGGAUUAGAUACCCCGGUAGUCCUGGGCCCUAACGAUGAAUGCUUGGUGUGGCGGGUAUCGAUCCCUGCCGUGCCGAAGCUAACGCAUUAAGCAUUCCGCCUGGGGAGUACGGUCGCAAGGCUG
This 841-nucleotide ribosomal RNA is filed under the name uncultured Acidobacteriota bacterium. Its description in RNAcentral is "bacterial SSU rRNA". It matches the Rfam family "Bacterial small subunit ribosomal RNA", at positions 78 to 896 of the family's 1533-position model. Lineage: Bacteria; Pseudomonadati; Acidobacteriota. The record is from RNAcentral.